Molecule: ribosomal RNA, 117 nt
Filed under: Assurger anzac (razorback scabbardfish)
Lineage: Eukaryota; Metazoa; Chordata; Actinopteri; Scombriformes; Trichiuridae
Description: partial 16S rRNA
Source: RNAcentral
CGCCAACCAGCUAGCCCCCCCCCCCAAAACCAACAACCCCUAUUAAUAACCCCUAAAUACACAACCCACCCCCCCCCCAACAAAUCAUUUUUCCCCCUUAGUACGGGCGACAGAAAA